RNAcentral lists this ribosomal RNA (899 nucleotides) under Arthrobacter sp. IBN110. RNAcentral describes it as "bacterial SSU rRNA". It matches the Rfam family "Bacterial small subunit ribosomal RNA", at positions 8 to 920 of the family's 1533-position model. The record is from RNAcentral. Lineage: Bacteria; Bacillati; Actinomycetota; Actinomycetes; Micrococcales; Micrococcaceae.
AGAGUUUGAUCCUGGCUCAGGAUGAACGCUGGCGGCGUGCUUAACACAUGCAAGUCGAACGAUGAUCCCAGCUUGCUGGGGGAUUAGUGGCGAACGGGUGAGUAACACGUGAGUAACCUGCCCUUGACUCUGGGAUAAGCCUGGGAAACUGGGUCUAAUACCGGAUAUGACUCCUCAUCGCAUGGUGGGGGGUGGAAAGCUUUUGUGGUUUUGGAUGGACUCGCGGCCUAUCAGCUUGUUGGUGGGGUAAUGGCCUACCAAGGCGACGACGGGUAGCCGGCCUGAGAGGGUGACCGGCCACACUGGGACUGAGACACGGCCCAGACUCCUACGGGAGGCAGCAGUGGGGAAUAUUGCACAAUGGGCGCAAGCCUGAUGCAGCGACGCCGCGUGAGGGAUGACGGCCUUCGGGUUGUAAACCUCUUUCAGUAGGGAAGAAGCGUAAGUGACGGUACCUGCAGAAGAAGCGCCGGCUAACUACGUGCCAGCAGCCGCGGUAAUACGUAGGGCGCAAGCGUUAUCCGGAAUUAUUGGGCGUAAAGAGCUCGUAGGCGGUUUGUCGCGUCUGCUGUGAAAGACCGGGGCUCAACUCCGGUUCUGCAGUGGGUACGGGCAGACUAGAGUGCAGUAGGGGAGACUGGAAUUCCUGGUGUAGCGGUGAAAUGCGCAGAUAUCAGGAGGAACACCGAUGGCGAAGGCAGGUCUCUGGGCUGUAACUGACGCUGAGGAGCGAAAGCAUGGGGAGCGAACAGGAUUAGAUACCCUGGUAGUCCAUGCCGUAAACGUUGGGCACUAGGUGUGGGGGACAUUCCACGUUUUCCGCGCCGUAGCUAACGCAUUAAGUGCCCCGCCUGGGGAGUACGGCCGCAAGGCUAAAACUCAAAGGAAUUGACGGAAUC